Ribosomal RNA from Schistosoma mansoni, 161 nucleotides. It matches the Rfam family "Eukaryotic small subunit ribosomal RNA", at positions 1668 to 1823 of the family's 1831-position model. The record is from Rfam. Lineage: Eukaryota; Metazoa; Platyhelminthes; Trematoda; Strigeidida; Schistosomatidae.
ACUGCCUGUGGCUACAACCGAUUUGAUGGUUCAGUGAGGUUGUUGGAUCGAUCUUAUUGUUGUGGCUUCGCCGUUUGACUGAUGCUGAAAAGAUGACCUAAUUUGAUUAUUUGGAGGAAGUAAACGCCGCAACAAGGUUUCCGUAGGUGGGCCUGCGGAAA